GACGAACGCUGGCGGCGUGCCUAACACAUGCAAGUCGAACGAAAAGGCCCUGCUUUUGUGCGGUGCUCGAGUGGCGACGGGGUGAGUAACACGUGAGUAACCUGCCCUUGACUUUGGGAUAACUUAAUGAAACUGGGGCUCAUACCGGCUAAGAGCUCCUGCUGCUGGGUGGGGGUUGGAAAGUUUCGGCGGUUGGGGAUGGACUCGCGGCUUAUCAGCUUGUUGGUGGGGUAGUGGCAUACCAAGGCUAGGAAGGGUAGCCGGCCUGAGAGGGUGACAGGCCACAUUGGGACUGAGAUACGGCCCAGACUCCUACGGGAGGCAGCAGUGGGGAAGAUUGCACAAUGGGAGGAAGCCUGAUGCAGCAACGCCGCGUGCGGGAUGACGGCCUUCGGGUUGUAAACCGCUUUCGCCUGUGACGAAGCGUGAGUGACGGUAAUGGGUAAAGAAGCACCGGCUAACUACGUG
This 468-nucleotide ribosomal RNA is filed under the name uncultured bacterium. RNAcentral's name for it is "partial 16S ribosomal RNA". It matches the Rfam family "Bacterial small subunit ribosomal RNA", at positions 28 to 507 of the family's 1533-position model. The record is from RNAcentral.